GGUAGCUUAACCUUCGGGAGGGCGCUUACCACUUUGUGAUUCAUGACUGGGGUGAAGUCGUAACAAGGUAACCGUAGGGGAACCUGCGGUUGGAUCACCUCCUUACCUUAAAGAAGC
RNAcentral lists this ribosomal RNA (117 nucleotides) under Escherichia coli. Its description in RNAcentral is "partial 16S ribosomal RNA". The stretch from base 1 to 105 matches the Rfam family "Bacterial small subunit ribosomal RNA", at positions 1429 to 1533 of the family's 1533-position model. Lineage: Bacteria; Pseudomonadati; Pseudomonadota; Gammaproteobacteria; Enterobacterales; Enterobacteriaceae. RNAcentral also lists the same sequence under 6 other names. The record is from RNAcentral.